Molecule: unclassified non-coding RNA, 161 nt
Filed under: synthetic construct
Source: RNAcentral
UCGAGGGGGGGCCCGGUCACGAUUAGUCCAAUUUGUUAAAGACAGGAUAUCAGGUGGUCCAGGCUCUAGUUUUGACUCAACAAUAUCACCAGCUGAAGCCUAUAGAGUACGAGCCAUAAUAGAAUAAAAGAUUUUAUUUAGUCUCCAGAAAAAGGGGGGAA